CACUCCUACGGGAGGCAGCAGUGGGGAAUAUUGGACAAUGGGCGCAAGCCUGAUCCAGCCAUGCCGCGUGAGUGAUGAAGGCCCUAGGGUUGUAAAGCUCUUUCACCGGUGAAGAUAAUGACGGUAACCGGAGAAGAAGCCCCGGCUAACUUCGUGCCAGCAGCCGCGGUAAUACGAAGGGGGCUAGCGUUGUUCGGAUUUACUGGGCGUAAAGCGCACGUAGGCGGACUAUUAAGUCAGGGGUGAAAUCCCGGGGCUCAACCCCGGAACUGCCUUUGAUACUGGUAGUCUUGAGUUCGAGAGAGGUGAGUGGAAUUCCGAGUGUAGAGGUGAAAUUCGUAGAUAUUCGGAGGAACACCAGUGGCGAAGGCGGCUCACUGGCUCGAUACUGACGCUGAGGUGCGAAAGCGUGGGGAGCAAACAGGAUUAGAUACCCCUGUAGUCCCAUGA
This 450-nucleotide ribosomal RNA is filed under the name uncultured organism. RNAcentral's name for it is "partial 16S ribosomal RNA". It matches the Rfam family "Bacterial small subunit ribosomal RNA", at positions 334 to 800 of the family's 1533-position model. The record is from RNAcentral.